Long non-coding RNA from Ctenopharyngodon idella (grass carp), 2898 nucleotides. RefSeq lists it as uncharacterized. Lineage: Eukaryota; Metazoa; Chordata; Actinopteri; Cypriniformes; Xenocyprididae. The record is from RefSeq and is a predicted model, not a curated record. The transcript has 3 exons.
UUUGGCAUUGUGAAAAGAUAUGGCAAGAAGUGUCUCCUCCUUUUUAAAAGUUGAUAAGUCGGUUUAUUUGAUCAUAUCUACAUACUAUUUUAUGGUUAGUUGGAUUUUAUUAUGUACAUUUAGCAUGAAAACAGACCUGUGACCCAUUUUAUGGUACAAUCCGUCAGUUGAGAAAUACUGUUUUAUUGGUUCUCACUGUUUUAUAUCGAUAAUCAGGUCUUCUCAAAGUGCCACCAAUGAUUUCCUGAGAUAUAUUAUACAAGGAUAAAUCUUUAUCCUUUUUCAUUCUCCUUUUCCGUCUUUCUCUCCUUCACGUAGCUCUCUUGUUUUUUCUCUUCGGCCUUGUCAAAUGACAUAAAGUCUAAACUGUUUGUGGAGGAAUGCAAGGCAUGCAAACGCUCAUGAAGAAUGUUUCACCGCAUCUGCAUCUCGCCACUUUCUCAGAAUGUCCAGAACCUCAGGGAGGGGGAACGGGGCAGAAUACGUUUUUUUGUGUGUGUCAGAUGAGAGAAUGUAAUGAAUAAGCUCAUAUAUUGAAACAGUCUCUUCUUUUUCUCCAUGGAGAGAGUUGGGGGUUGGGUGUGAUGGAGUGAAGAGGAGGAGGAGGGGGGAGUUUUCUUGUGCCCGGAGCUUUUGUGAUGUGGUUCAUUUUCUUGAUGACGGGUCAGGACACAUCACCUCAUCAUCCAUGCGUCAGACUCUCGCUUUCCCCUUUCCUAAUGGCUGAAAGGCCUUUAUUGUUGGCAGAUCAUUCGAAAGUUGGAGGGAAGAGUAAAUGGCCAGCGUCCUCCACAGUGAGGCCUGCAGUUCACACCUUCCAUCCAGCAGAGAGUCUUCUUUGGCCUGGUGUUUUAAUCCCUGUGGAGCUGCAUGGCCAGACAACAAAUAGCUCCUGCAGGAGCAACAUCUCGCACAUGAAUGUCAAUGGGUGUGUUGAUAUGCCAAUGAUAGGGACAUCAGACCGGGCAGGGCAGGUGAGAACUGAUUCUGUUCAGCUCUGUGACUGUUUUGGCCACAGCAGGGAGCGAGAGAGGAGGACAGUGAUGGUGUGAAUGUGGGGGUUGGUCACCCUACAGCAUUAUGGACUCCACUGAAACUAGAUGCUGACUUUACAGAGUCCAGUGCAGGGAAAUCUGCCAAGGAAAGAAUAAAUGACACAUUCAAGUCCCAUAGAAUUGUUCCCAACCAAAGCAGAGUUUUCUGGUAGGCUCAGUGGUUACCACUGUGACCUUAAGGUCAAGUGAGCAGAGUUCACAUUCCUCUGAGUUACCCAGAUCCCCCUUGGUGCCUUUAAGAGGCUUCUGAGCUGAUGUGCUGCCCAUUUCAGUGGCAAUAUCUCAUAACCACCGGCAAGACUCCAUGACUCAGCAGAAGACACUGCACUCAGGGUCUCCUCAGGGUGUGAGAGGUGCGAGCUUUGAGACGGAGUGCACUUUUAAACUUUAAACUCAGCUGUCUGGAAGAGAAGUCAGCACAUGUUGUUGCUCCGGUGUCCUCUGAGCAAACUUCGCCCCUGAUGGAAGUGAGAGCACGGGGGAGGACAUCAAGGGGAGAUUUCAUGCCUGAACACAGAGUGAGAUUUAUAUCCUCAAAAGGCCCUAUUGUUCUCCAUUCAGAAGGCAACUGAUGAGCAUCACAAGCUGGGAUGAGGGGAGGGUAAGGAGAAAGAGAGAGAGAGAGCCAGAAGAAGAGCGAUGUAACAUUGUAUUGCUUAAUAAAUCGAUGUAUCACAAAUUACUCACUCAAUAUAGUUUCACACAUCGACAACUUUACACAAACAUUCCUUUUUCCUCUUCCUAAUAACCAAAAGCUUUGACUAAACAGUUUUGCCAGUUGUGAAAAUUUCUGUGUUACAACAGAAUUGGUGCUGUACUAGUAUUUUUUAGUAUUUCAUGAGUUUCCACACCAGAGGUGACUUUUAGCUCAUUAAAUGCACACUGCUAUUAUCCAAAACAUGUCUUCUGCUUUAAUCUGGCCGUCGUCAUCGAUCAGUAAGACGAGAUAAGAAUCUCCAGAGACAAUGGCAGCAUAUGGCAUAGCUUUUUAAGAGACAGAUGUUCAACUCGGGCAAAGAUGAAGGCACGAAAAUAAUCAUGACUUUAGCUUUGAGCCUUAGUGUGCUGGAGGGUCAGAAGGCCAAAAGGUCACUCAACUCUGGGACGUUUUCUUAGAUGUUUCGCAUAAGGCCUGACUGGCAUGUCACAAUAAUAAACUAUCUGGUUUGGAAACAAAGUUUAGAGAACCGCACUGCAUGCCUCCCAUACGUGCAGCUCCUCAUUCUCCAGGUCUUGAUGCAGUUAAAACAUAUUUUUUCAUUUUAUCAGUUAAAAAGUGGUAAUAAAGUGGAAGUGGAAAGACGAAAGGGAAAUUUUACCCCAAAAUUACAAUUUUGUCAUCAUAUACUCAUGGAAGAAGUCCAGGAGGUCACACUAAAUACAGAUUUUUGCUUAAGAAACAAUUUUGUUCAGAUUUUUUAUUUUUUUAUUUAUAUUUCCUGUAUUUUCUGUUUGUAUCAUAAUAAAGAGACUGAAAAAUAAAAAAUUAUGGUCAUUAAAACGUUGCUAAAACAAUAAAGCUGACUUUUGCACAGUACUAUUUUUUGGUGAACUAUCCCUUUAAGCCAGGAUUUUUCAACAACACCAACAAUAAAGUCCCUAAACAUGGGACUUUAAUCCAUCAAACAUUCCCUUCACUUCCCUUCAGAGGAACAUAUUUGUAUUUCCAUCACAUUUGGCCAUGUUAGUUCCGCAUUGACACUGACCCUGGAAAACACCUGCAGUCCCCACACGUCUUCGUGUCUUUGAUGCAACAGCAGAUACUUGCCCCACCUGUGUUUGCAAACGAACUAGCACGUGGUAAAAACCUAGGGGUUUUUCUUUGCCAUGACAUUCACUGGGA